GCCUUCGUGGUGUAACGGUUAGCACACUCGGCGCGUAUUCGAGAGGUCCAGGUUCGAGUCCCGGCAAGGGCA
This 72-nucleotide transfer RNA is filed under the name Stegodyphus mimosarum. It matches the Rfam family "tRNA". Rfam says of the family: Transfer RNA (tRNA) molecules are approximately 80 nucleotides in length. Their secondary structure includes four short double-helical elements and three loops (D, anti-codon, and T loops). Lineage: Eukaryota; Metazoa; Arthropoda; Arachnida; Araneae; Eresidae. The record is from Rfam by way of RNAcentral.